RNAcentral lists this non-coding RNA (29 nucleotides) under Rattus norvegicus (Norway rat). The record is from RNAcentral. Lineage: Eukaryota; Metazoa; Chordata; Mammalia; Rodentia; Muridae.
UCAGAGCUUUGUCCAAGUCUUUUGAUGGA